Molecule: ribosomal RNA, 459 nt
Filed under: uncultured bacterium
Lineage: Bacteria
Description: partial 16S ribosomal RNA
Rfam family: Bacterial small subunit ribosomal RNA
Source: RNAcentral
CCUACGGGUGGCAGCAGUGAGGAAUAUUGGUCAAUGGGCGUGAGCCUGAACCAGCCAAGUCGCGUGAGGGAAGAAGGUACAGUGUAUCGUAAACCUCUUUUGUCAGGGAACAAAGGCGGGGACUAGUCCCCGGUUGUGGGUACCUUAUGAAAAAGCAUCGGCUAACUCCGUGCCAGCAGCCGCGGUAAUACGGAGGAUGCGAGCGUUAUCCGGAUUUAUUGGGUUUAAAGGGUGCGUAGGCGGCCUUUUAAGUCAGCGGUAAAAGCCCGGGGCUCAACCCCGGCGUGCCGUUGAAACUGGCGGGCGGGAGUUGGAGAGAGGUAGGCGGAAUGCGCGGUGUAGCGGUGAAAUGCUUAGAUAUCGCGCAGAACCCCGAUUGCGAAGGCAGCGUACCGGGUCCAGACUGACGCUGAGGCACGAAAGCGUGGGUAUCGAACAGGAUUAGAUACCCGAGUAGUC